Molecule: ribosomal RNA, 430 nt
Filed under: Pseudomonadota bacterium
Lineage: Bacteria; Pseudomonadati; Pseudomonadota
Description: Proteobacteria bacterium partial 16S ribosomal RNA
Rfam family: Bacterial small subunit ribosomal RNA
Source: RNAcentral
UGGGGAAUAUUGGACAAUGGGGGGAACCCUGAUCCAGCCAUGCCGCGUGUGUGAAGAAGCCCUUAUGGUUGUAAAGCACUUUAAGCGAGGAGGAGGGUACUGGUAUUAAUACUACCAGGUACUGGACGUUACUCGCAGAAUAAGCACCGGCUAACUCUGUGCCAGCAGCCGCGGCAAUACAGAGGGUGCGAGCGUUAAUCGGAUUUACUGGGCGUAAAGCGUGCGUAGGCGGCUAAUUGAGUCGGAUGUGAAAUCCCCGGGCUUAACUUGGGGAUUACAUUCGAUACUGGAUAGAUAGAGUGUUGGAGAGGAUGGGAGAAUUCCCGGUGUAGCGGUGAAAUGCGUAGAGAUCUGGAAGAAUACCGAUGGCGAAGGCAGCCAUCUGGCCUAACACAAACGCUGAAGUACGAAAGCAUGGGGAGCAAACAGG